UUGUGAUGGUGGUGCGAAUGAGGAGUGUUCAACCCUCAGUUCCGAAGCUUCUUUACUCCGUUUUUUUUGUUGUAUUUAAAAGUGAGCUUUGUAGCCUUGUCUCAAGUUUAACCAGGAUCGGAUCCACUCAUUUUUUCCUUUGGACUACACAUCUCAGUUGGUCUCAGCUGUUUCGUUGUGGCCUUUCUCAGCAGGAGAUCUGUUGGCGGAUUGGAUUGCCUGACAGACCACAACUUUUGUUGCAUACGACUUGAUGGACCAGACAGGACUCAUUCCCUCAAACAAAAAGGAGACAUCAAUAUUUUCUCUGGUGAAUCUGAUGAGGCGAUGGUGCGAGUAACGAUGGUGACAGGUGUGCAUAAUAAUGAGCAGCCUGGUGACCUCGAGCGCCGGAGAGGGAGUAUACCUGACAGUAACCUCUCCCUGAUGUGCGGCUCCAGGCGCAGGACUCCGAUCAGAGGGAUGGUCCUGGGGGCCGGUCGCUUCUGCUGAGGCACAGGAACCCCGGUUGCGACACCCGGACCGACAUCACCUACCCUAAUAAAUAAACAGUCCCUGAUGCUUCCUUUUGGUCAGGAGUUAUUCUGUAACGUGUAUGCUGGGAGUCGGGAAGCAAGUUUAGGGAGCGUAGUUAAUAAAUACAUUAACAUAGAACAAAACAAGAAACACGGAUAGCGUACAGCCAUGAACACUGGAACAGAAACAAUAACGCCUAGAGAAAGAACCAAAGGCAGUGACGUGUGUAUAUAUGGGAAAGGUAAUCAGGCAG
Molecule: long non-coding RNA, 769 nt
Organism: Salvelinus sp. IW2-2015
Lineage: Eukaryota; Metazoa; Chordata; Actinopteri; Salmoniformes; Salmonidae
Source: RefSeq, a predicted model, not a curated record